GAUGAACGCUAGCUACAGGCUUAACACAUGCAAGUCGAGGGGUAACGAGAGGAAAGCUUGCUUUCCUUGUCGACGACCGGCGCACGGGUGAGUAACGCGUAUCCAACCUGCCCCCAACUAAGGAAUAACCUUGCGAAAGUAAGACUAAUACCUUAUAAUUUCCUCAGAUGUCAUCUGACGAGGAAUAAAGAUUUAUCGGUUGUGGAUGGGGAUGCGUCUGAUUAGCUUGUUGGCGGGGUAACGGCCCACCAAGGCAACGAUCAGUAGGUGUUCUGAGAGGAAGGUCCCCCACAUUGGGACUGAGACACGGUCCAAACUCCUACGGGAGGCAGCAGUGAGGAAUAUUGGUCAAUGGGCGAAAGCCUGAACCAGCCAAGUAGCGUGCAGGAUGACGGCCCUAUGGGUUGUAAACUGCUUUUAUACAGGAAUAAAGUUAGCCACGUGUGGUUAUUUGUAGGUACUGUAUGAAUAAGGACCGGCUAAUUCCGUGCCAGCCGCCGCUGUAA
RNAcentral lists this ribosomal RNA (506 nucleotides) under uncultured bacterium. RNAcentral's name for it is "partial 16S ribosomal RNA". It matches the Rfam family "Bacterial small subunit ribosomal RNA", at positions 28 to 523 of the family's 1533-position model. The record is from RNAcentral.